Molecule: ribosomal RNA, 508 nt
Filed under: uncultured glomeraceous AM fungus
Lineage: Eukaryota; Fungi; Glomeromycota; Glomeromycetes; Glomerales; Glomeraceae
Description: SSU rRNA
Rfam family: Eukaryotic small subunit ribosomal RNA
Source: RNAcentral
AGCAGCCGCGGUAAUUCCAGCUCCAAUAGCGUAUAUUAAAGUUGUUGCAGUUAAAAAGCUCGUAGUUGAAUUUCGGGGUUAGUAGAUUGGUCAUGCCUCUGGUAUGUACUGGUCUCACUGAUUCCUCCUUCCUGAUGAACCUUAAUGCCAUUAAUUUGGUGUUUUGGGGAAUUUGGACUGUUACUUUGAAAAAAUUAGAGUGUUUAAAGCAAGCUAACGCUUGAAUACAUUAGCAUGGAAUAAUGAAAUAGGACGUUCGAUCCUAUUUUGUUGGUUUCUAGGAUUGACGUAAUGAUUAAUAGGGAUAGUUGGGGGCAUUAGUAUUCAAUUGUCAGAGGUGAAAUUCUUGGAUUUAUUGAAGACUAACUACUGCGAAAGCAUUUGCCAAGGAUGUUUUCAUUAAUCAAGAACGAAAGUUAGGGGAUCGAAGACGAUCAGAUACCGUCGUAGUCUUAACCAUAAACUAUGCCGACUAGGGAUCGGAUGAUGUUAAUUUUUUAAUGACUCA